UUAACUCCUUACGGGAGGCAGCAGUAGGAAUAUUCCACAAUGAGCGAAAGCUUGAUGGAGCGACACAGCGUGCACGAUGAAGGUCUUCGGAUUGUAAAGUGCUGUUAUAAGGGAAGAACAUUUGCAAUAGGAAAUGAUUGCAGACUGACGGUACCUUGUCAGAAAGCGAUGGCUAACUAUGUGCCAGCAGCCGCGGUAAUACAUAGGUCGCAAGCGUUAUCCGGAAUUAUUGGGCGUAAAGCGUUCGUAGGCUGUUUGUUAAGUCUGGAGUUAAAUCCCGGGGCUCAACCCCGGCUCGCUUUGGAUACUAGCAAACUAGAGUUAGAUAGAGGUAAGCGGAAUUCCAUGUGAAGCGGUGAAAUGCGUAGAUAUAUGGAAGAACACCAAAGGCGAAGGCAGCUUACUGGGUCUAUACUGACGCUGAGGGACGAAAGCGUGGGGAGCAAACAGGAUUAGAUACCCUGGUAGUCCACGCCGUAAACGAUGAUCAUUAGUCGGUGGAGAAUCACUGACGCAGCUAACGCAUUAAAUGAUCCGCCUGAGUAGUAUGCUCGCAAGAGUGAAACUUAAAGGAAUUGACGGGGACCCGCACAAGCGGUGGAGCAUGUGGUUUAAUUUGAAGAUACACGGAAAACCUUACCCACUCUUGACAUCCUUCGCAAAGCUAUAGAGAUAUAGUGGAGGUUAACAGAGUGACAGAUGGGUGCAA
RNAcentral lists this ribosomal RNA (709 nucleotides) under Metamycoplasma hominis. RNAcentral describes it as "bacterial SSU rRNA". It matches the Rfam family "Bacterial small subunit ribosomal RNA", at positions 332 to 1043 of the family's 1533-position model. The record is from RNAcentral. Lineage: Bacteria; Bacillati; Mycoplasmatota; Mycoplasmoidales; Metamycoplasmataceae.